RNAcentral lists this non-coding RNA (251 nucleotides) under Serratia plymuthica. The record is from RNAcentral. Lineage: Bacteria; Pseudomonadati; Pseudomonadota; Gammaproteobacteria; Enterobacterales; Yersiniaceae.
GAUGAAAGCUUUCUUGUCAAAACAGUUCUAUCAGCGCUACUUCAGCGCGGUGCGCCGCCAGCAUGCCGACUGGCUGGGCCUUGUGCCUGAACAAGCCCGGCUGGAGAUGCUGGCUCACCUGACCCAGUGGGAUAUCAAGGAUAUGACAGACAAGCAAUACCGCGAGCACCUCUGAGGUUGCGGUAGCAAAAAUGUUUCUGAGUAAUGGUGUUGUUCACCAGCCAGUGGGGUCAUACCCACUGGUUUUUUUA